RNAcentral lists this ribosomal RNA (443 nucleotides) under uncultured bacterium. Its description in RNAcentral is "partial 16S ribosomal RNA". It matches the Rfam family "Bacterial small subunit ribosomal RNA", at positions 338 to 795 of the family's 1533-position model. The record is from RNAcentral.
CCUACGGGAGGCAGCAGUGGGGAAUAUUGCACAAUGGGCGGAACCCUGAUGCAGCAAUGCCGCGUGAAGGAUGAAGGUUUUCGGAUUGUAAACUUCUUUUGUACGGGACGAAGAGAGUGUCGGUACCGUAAGAGUAAGCCACCGCUAACUACGUGCCAGCAGCCGGGGUAAUACGUAGGGGGCAAGCGUUAUCCGGAUUUAGUGGGUGUAAAGGGCGAGUAGGCGGGAUGUCAAGUCAGAUGUGAAAACUUUGGGCUCAACCGGUAGAGUGCCUUUGAAACUGGCGUUCUUGAGUGAGGGAGAGGCAGGCGGAAUUCCCGGUGUAGCGGUGGAAUGCGUAGAUAUCGGGAGGAACACCAGUGGCGAAGGCGGCCUGCUGGAAAAUAACUGACGCUGAGGCGCGAAAGCGUGGGGAGCAAACAGGAUUAGAUACCCCAGUAGUC